GCUGAGGACUGGAGGUUAGGACCAGGCUACUAUAUCCUGGCCUGGGGCUGAGGACUGGAGGUUAGGACCAGGCUACUAUAUCCUGGCCUGGGGCUGAAGACUGGAGGUUAGGACCAGGCUACUGUAUCCUGGCCUGGGGCUGAGGACUGGAGGUUAGGACCAGGCUACUAUAUCCUGGCCUGGGGCUGAGGACUGGAGGUUAGGACCAGGCUACUGUAUCCUGGCCUGGGGCUGAGGACUGGAGGUUAGGACCAGGCUACUGUAUCCUGGCCUGGGGCUGAGGACUGGAGGUUAGGACCAGGCUACUAUAUCCUGGCCUGGGGCUGAGGACUGGAGGUUAGGACCAGGCUACUAUAUCCUGGCCUGGGGCUGAGGACUGGAGGUUAGGACCAGGCUACUGUAUCCUGGCCUGGGGCUAAGGACUGGAGGUUAGGACCAGGCUACUAUAUCCUGGCCUGGGGCUGAGGACUGGAGGUUAGGACCAGGCUACUAUAUCCUGGCCUGGGGCUGAGGACUGGAGGUUAGGACCAGGCUACUGUAUCCUGGCCUGGGGCUGAGGACUGGAGGUUAGGACCAGGCUACUAUAUCCUGG
Molecule: non-coding RNA, 592 nt
Organism: Salmo salar (Atlantic salmon)
Lineage: Eukaryota; Metazoa; Chordata; Actinopteri; Salmoniformes; Salmonidae
Source: RefSeq, a predicted model, not a curated record